ACACCUCAACUCCUCAUGGCUUGCCAUGAUGAGCUUGGACAUUGGGGGACUUGCUGGCCUGCAGUCAGCUCCUCUCAAAUGAAUCAGCUUGCCAGUGUUUGGUGGCACCACAGGUGUGAUAAAUAUCUACGCUUGUGGUGUUUCCACCAGGUGUCCUCCAGCAAUGGGGGCCUCUGGAGCUCAUAAACGUCUCUCUGGGGACAGCUUUUUGAAC
This 214-nucleotide unclassified non-coding RNA is filed under the name uncultured Tomentella. Its description in RNAcentral is "sequence contains ITS2". The record is from RNAcentral. Lineage: Eukaryota; Fungi; Basidiomycota; Agaricomycetes; Thelephorales; Thelephoraceae.